This is a long non-coding RNA of Vitis vinifera (wine grape), 331 nucleotides long. RefSeq lists it as uncharacterized. The record is from RefSeq and is a predicted model, not a curated record. Lineage: Eukaryota; Viridiplantae; Streptophyta; Magnoliopsida; Vitales; Vitaceae. The transcript has 2 exons.
UCAAUCUGAAGUGUUUCUUCUAUAUUUCUCUGCAAUUGGGUGCCUUCUGAUUCUCGAGAAAGGAAAGGGGAGGAAAAAUGAGCAUCUGAGAACCAAAUUGAGUGGUGAUUUGUGUUUGUAUAUUGGAUUGACAGAGAAAGUGGGGAAAAAAAUAAAGGAAUGGAAAACCAUUGGCCUAAAUCCAUGAUUUAGAAGUUCAAAUUCUGUAACUGUUCCAUAUAUCCUAAUUCCUGUGGCUUGAAAAUCAUAUAUUUUCCUUUUCUUUAGGAAAAAAAACAGGGAUAUAUUAUUGCUGAAUACUCUUCAUGUAAUAUUGGGUUAUACCUUGAAA